Molecule: ribosomal RNA, 490 nt
Filed under: uncultured bacterium
Lineage: Bacteria
Description: partial 16S ribosomal RNA
Rfam family: Bacterial small subunit ribosomal RNA
Source: RNAcentral
AUUGAACGCUGGCGGCAGGCCUAACACAUGCAAGUCGAACGGUAACAGGAAGAAGCUUGCUUCUUUGCUGACGAGUGGCGGACGGGUGAGUAAUGUCUGGGAAACUGCCUGAUGGAGGGGGAUAACUACUGGAAACGGUAGCUAAUACCGCAUAAUGUCGCAAGACCAAAGAGGGGGACCUUCGGGCCUCUUGCCAUCGGAUGUGCCCAGAUGGGAUUAGCUAGUAGGUGGGGUAACGGCUCACCUAGGCGACGAUCCCUAGCUGGUCUGAGAGGAUGACCAGCCACACUGCAACUGAGACACGGUCCAGACUCCUACGGGAGGCAGCAGUGGGGAAUAUUGCACAAUGGGCGCAAGCCUGAUGCAGCUAUGCCGCGUGUAUGAAGAAGGCCUUCGGGUUGUAAAGUACUUUCAGCGGGGAGGAAGGGAGUAAAGUUAAUACCUUUGCUCAUUGACGUUACCCGCAGAAGAAGCACCGGCUAACUCCGUG